RNAcentral lists this non-coding RNA (30 nucleotides) under Homo sapiens (human). Lineage: Eukaryota; Metazoa; Chordata; Mammalia; Primates; Hominidae. The record is from RNAcentral.
UCGUGUCUUGUUGCUAAAAUUCUGGUUCCU